This 119-nucleotide ribosomal RNA is filed under the name Pteropus alecto (black flying fox). Lineage: Eukaryota; Metazoa; Chordata; Mammalia; Chiroptera; Pteropodidae. The record is from RNAcentral.
GUCUACAGCCAUGCUACCCCGAAUAAGCUCAAUCCCAUCUGAUCUCGGAAGCGAAGCACAGUCGGGCAUGGUUAGUAAUUGGAUGGGAGACCACCUAGGAAGACCAGGUGCUGUAGGCA